Molecule: ribosomal RNA, 290 nt
Filed under: uncultured bacterium
Lineage: Bacteria
Description: partial 16S ribosomal RNA
Rfam family: Bacterial small subunit ribosomal RNA
Source: RNAcentral
GGAUUAGAUACCCUGGUAGUCCACGCCGUAAACGAUGGAUACUAGCUGUCCGGUACCUUGAGUACUGGGCGGCCAAGCGAAAGUGAUAAGUAUCCCACCUGGGGAGUACGUUCGCAAGAAUGAAACUCAAAGGAAUUGACGGGGGCCCGCACAAGCGGUGGAGCAUGUGGUUUAAUUCGAUGAUACGCGAGGAACCUUACCAGGGCUUAAAUGCAUAACGACAGGUCCAGAGAUGGAUUUUCCUUCGGGCGUUUUGCAAGGUGCUGCAUGGUUGUCGUCAGCUCGUGCCG